This 460-nucleotide ribosomal RNA is filed under the name uncultured bacterium. Its description in RNAcentral is "partial 16S ribosomal RNA". It matches the Rfam family "Bacterial small subunit ribosomal RNA", at positions 338 to 795 of the family's 1533-position model. The record is from RNAcentral.
CCUACGGGAGGCUGCAGUGAGGAAUAUUGGUCAAUGGACGAGAGUCUGAACCAGCCACGUAGCGUGAAGGAUGACUGCCCUAUGGGUUGUAAACUUCUUUUAUAAAGGAAUAAAACGAGGCACGUGUGCCUUUUUGCAUGUACUUUAUGAAUAAGGCUCGGCUAACUCCGUGCCAGCAGCCGCGGUAAUACGGAGGAUCCGAGCGUUAUCCGGAUUUAUUGGGUUUAAAGGGAGCGUAGAUGGGUUGUUAAGUCAGUUGUGAAAGUUUGCGGCUCAACCGUAAAAUUGCAAUUGAUACUGGCAGUCGUGAGUACAGUUGAGGUAGGCGGAAUUCGUGGUGUAGCGGUGAAAUGCUUAGAUAUCACGAAGAACCCCGAUUGCGAAGGCAGCUUACUAAACUGUGACUGACAUUGAUGCUCGAAAGUGUGGGUAUCAAACAGGAUUAGAUACCCUAGUAGUC